UUUUGGUGCUCUGCUCUCUCUGCCAGAUUUCCCAUUCCCCUCCAUUUUCCUUUCUCUCUCUCUCGUGACCAUACCUAUCCCAUUUCUCCUCCACCCAAGACGCUGGCCAAGAACACGAACGAAGACAGUGCAGCCCAUUCAUCACUUCGCGUCUCUCUUCCAUCGUGACCUCCACCACUUCGCGUCUCUCCUCCACCGUGACAUCCAGCACGUUGCUGGCCAGGAACACGAAGGGAGUGCAGCAGCGAGAGAACGCAGUGCAGGGAGAACACAGAGCCACCAUCGAACUCCGAUUCGCGGACGAUUCCGACGGCCACGACCACCGCGAAGACAAACAAUCUGUCCAUUUUCUUGCAUUAUCCAAAAAGGGUUUGUAUUGAUGCUGCAGCAGUGACCUUCAUGACUUGCAGAGAGCAAAACAUCAUUUAUAUGUGUUUUUAAUAUUUUCAUUUUCUUGUUUAAUAAAUCAUUGUUGUUGUAUUCUUCAUUGAAGGAGAAUUUUUUUUGGUAAUAUAACAUUGGGACAAUGUUCAGUCAACUAAAUUUGGAAUGAAACAAAUUGAAAUUUGA
This is a long non-coding RNA of Vigna unguiculata (cowpea), 570 nucleotides long. RefSeq lists it as uncharacterized. The record is from RefSeq and is a predicted model, not a curated record. NCBI's taxonomy places the organism in Eukaryota, Viridiplantae, Streptophyta, Magnoliopsida, Fabales, Fabaceae.